RNAcentral lists this transfer RNA (90 nucleotides) under Hypoxylon sp. FL0543. Its description in RNAcentral is "tRNA-Glu". It matches the Rfam family "tRNA". From Rfam's summary of the family: Transfer RNA (tRNA) molecules are approximately 80 nucleotides in length. Their secondary structure includes four short double-helical elements and three loops (D, anti-codon, and T loops). The record is from RNAcentral. Lineage: Eukaryota; Fungi; Ascomycota; Sordariomycetes; Xylariales; Hypoxylaceae.
UCCGAAUUGGUGUAGUGGCUAACAUUUGACGCUCUCAACGGGAAAUCGUGGUGAUCCGUCAAGCCCGGGGUUCGAUUCCCCGAUUCGGAG